AUUGAACGCUGGCGGCAUGCCUUACACAUGCAAGUCGAACGGCAGCACGGGUGCUUGCACCUGGUGGCGAGUGGCGAACGGGUGAGUAAUACAUCGGAACAUGUCCUGUAGUGGGGGAUAGCCCGGCGAAAGCCGGAUUAAUACCGCAUACGAUCUACGGAUGAAAGCGGGGGACCUUCGGGCCUCGCGCUAUAGGGUUGGCCGAUGGCUGAUUAGCUAGUUGGUGGGGUAAAGGCCUACCAAGGCGACGAUCAGUAGAUGGUCUGAGAGGACGACCUGCCACACUGGGACUGAGAAACGGCCCAGACUCCUACGGGAGGCAGCAGUGGGGAAUUUUGGACAAUGGGCGAAAGCCUGAUCCAGCAAUGCCGCGUGUGUGAAGAAGGCCUUCGGGUUGUAAAGCACUUUUGUCCGGAAAGAAAUCCUUGGCUCUAAUACAGUCGGGGGAUGACGGUACCGGAAGAAUAAGCACCGGCUAACUACGUG
Molecule: ribosomal RNA, 486 nt
Filed under: uncultured bacterium
Lineage: Bacteria
Description: partial 16S ribosomal RNA
Rfam family: Bacterial small subunit ribosomal RNA
Source: RNAcentral